CGACCUCAGAUCAGGCAAGACCACCCGCUGAGU
This 33-nucleotide ribosomal RNA is filed under the name Lejeunea cancellata. Its description in RNAcentral is "partial 26S ribosomal RNA". The record is from RNAcentral. Lineage: Eukaryota; Viridiplantae; Streptophyta; Jungermanniopsida; Porellales; Lejeuneaceae.